CCAGCAGCCGCGGUAAUACGUAGGGUGCGAGCGUUAAUCGGAAUUACUGGGCGUAAAGCGUGCGCAGGCGGUUCGCCAAGUCAGGUGUGAAAUCCCCGGGCUUAACCUGGGAAUUGCGCUUGAAACUAGCGGGCUGGAGUGCGGCAGAGGAGACUGGAAUUCCUGGUGUAGCGGUGAAAUGCGUAGAUAUCAGGAGGAACACCGGUGGUGUAGACGGCUCUCUGGACCGUAACUGACGCUGAAACACGAAAGCGUGGGUAGCAAACAGGAUUAGAUACCCUGGUA
RNAcentral lists this ribosomal RNA (285 nucleotides) under uncultured beta proteobacterium. Its description in RNAcentral is "partial 16S ribosomal RNA". It matches the Rfam family "Bacterial small subunit ribosomal RNA", at positions 508 to 792 of the family's 1533-position model. Lineage: Bacteria; Pseudomonadati; Pseudomonadota; Betaproteobacteria. The record is from RNAcentral.